This 442-nucleotide ribosomal RNA is filed under the name uncultured bacterium. RNAcentral describes it as "partial 16S ribosomal RNA". It matches the Rfam family "Bacterial small subunit ribosomal RNA", at positions 338 to 795 of the family's 1533-position model. The record is from RNAcentral.
CCUACGGGCAGCUGCAGUGGGGAAUAUUUGGCAAUGGGCGCAAGCCUGACCCAGCAACGCCGCGUGAAGGAAGAAGGCUCUCGGGUUGUAAACCUCCUUUUAUAGGGAAGAGAAGAAGACGGUACCUCUUGAAUAAGCCACGGCUAACUACGUGCCAGCAGCCGCGGUAAUACGUAGGUUGCAAGCGUUGUCCGGAUUUACUGGGUGUAAAGGGCGUGCAGCCGGGAAGACAAGUCAGAUGUGAAAUCCCGCGGCUCAACCGCGGAACUGCAUUUGAAACUGUUUUUCUUGAGUACCGGAGAGGUCAGCGGAAUUCAUGGUGUAGCGGUGAAAUGCGUAGAUAUAAGGAAGAACACCAGUGGCGAAGGCGGAUGACUGGACGGCAACUGACGGUGAGGCGCGAAAGCGUGGGGAGCAAACAGGAUUAGAUACCCCUGUAGUC